Molecule: ribosomal RNA, 126 nt
Filed under: Darksidea sp.
Lineage: Eukaryota; Fungi; Ascomycota; Dothideomycetes; Pleosporales; Lentitheciaceae
Description: partial large subunit ribosomal RNA
Source: RNAcentral
AGUAACGGCGAGUGAAGCGGCAAGAGCUCAAAUUUGAAAUCUGGCUCCUUUGGGGUCCGAGUUGUAAUUUGCAGAGGGCGCUUUGGAGUCGGCCGCGGUCUAAGGUCCUUGGAAAGGGCAGCAGAC